ACCUCGCUGCCAUUGCCGGAGAACUCUUUCGAUGACCCACCGGAGCUUCUGGCCGCCGCCGGACCUAUUGCUGGGGCCGGUUCGAAAUCGCAGCUGCUUCGUGUAGUUAUUCCGAGCCGUUUAUGCUGCUGCGAAAAUGUGUGGGGCUGUGCUUUGAAGCUGCCUUUGAUUUUGAGUUGAGGCAAAAAGAACUUAUGAGGCAUUUGGAUUAUGGAACUUUGCGUUUUGAGGAUAUGGGCGCAGAAGUCACGAAGAGUUUAUUUAGUUGUUAUUGAGAUGCUCUGUAUUGCUUUAGGUUAUUAUUUGUACCCUCACCUUUAUCUUGAGAUAUUCUGUAAGAGGGGUAGGAAUUGUAUUGUCUAAUGCUUGUAAUAUAUAUAUAUAUAUAUAUAUA
Arachis ipaensis is the source of this 394-nucleotide non-coding RNA. The record is from RefSeq and is a predicted model, not a curated record. Lineage: Eukaryota; Viridiplantae; Streptophyta; Magnoliopsida; Fabales; Fabaceae.